Molecule: ribosomal RNA, 709 nt
Filed under: Rhinebothrium sp. 1
Lineage: Eukaryota; Metazoa; Platyhelminthes; Cestoda; Rhinebothriidea; Rhinebothriidae
Description: 12S ribosomal RNA
Source: RNAcentral
UGAUUGUUUAACUAUGGCAGUAGGAAAUGUUAAGACGGCUUAGCUGCAUAAACUAAUUCUAUAAAGGUCACUUUAAGUUUUCUUUUGUGCUGAUUAGCAGCUAGUAUUUUAGUAGAACUAACGUUUUUUAAGAGGUCGUUUUAUAGGAGGGGAUAGGACACAGUGCCAGCAUCCGCGGUUAAUCUGUUUUCUCUGUUUUCUCUUGAGUGCAGCAGCGGGCAUAUAUAAACAAGUCUAGGUGAAAUUUUCUUGUUUUUACUCUACAUGCUCGAAGUCUAGUGUAAGGUAGUGCUUAGCAACAGGGAUUAGAUACCCCAUUAGCAGCUACUGUAUUAAUUCUAGUUUUGUAACUAAAAUAGUUUGGCAGCGAGUUACUCUUACUGGGGGAAGGUGUGUUAUAAAGGACGGUCCGCCUAUCAAUUUGCCUGUGCCAUGUUGGUGUAUAUCUGGUUUGAUAUUAUUGCUUAAUAGCUUGAAUUUGUGUAGUAUUAGUUAAGCCAAGUCUAUGUGCUGCUUGUACAGGAUUGCAUGCGUUACUGUUAUAAAGAAUCGCGUGAGAUUGCGUUUAAUUCAGGACUCAGAAGUAAGAUAAGAUAAGGUUGUUUAUCUGAACAGGGUUUAACUCGGGUACACACCGCCCGUCACCCUCGGCAUAUGUUGAGGUAAGUCGUAACAUGGUAACCCUAGAUGAAUUUGGGGUUAAUUGCUC